UUGUCGUCAGCUCGUGUCGUGAGAUGUUGGGUUAAGUCCCGCAACGAGCGCAACCCUUGAUUUUAGUUGCCAGCAUUCAGUUGGGCACUCUAAAGUGACUGCCGGUGCAAGCCGGAGGAAGGUGGGGAUGACGUCAAAUCAUCAUGCCCCUUAUGACCUGGGCUACACACGUGCUACAAUGGAUGGUACAAAGGGUCGCGAAGCCGCGAGGUGGAGCCAAUCCCAUAAAACCAUUCUCAGUUCGGAUUGUAGGCUGCAACUCGCCUACAUGAAGCCGGAAUCGCUAGUAAUCGUGGAUCAGCAUGCCACGGUGAAUACGUUCCCGGGCCUUGUACACACCGCCCGUCACACCACGAGAGUUUGUAACACCCGAAGUCGGUAGGGUAACCUUUAUGGAGCCAGCCGCCGAAGGUGGGACAGAUAAUUGGGGUGAAGUCGUAACAAGGUAGCCGUAUCGGAAGGUGCGGCUGGAUCACCUCCUUUCUA
RNAcentral lists this ribosomal RNA (486 nucleotides) under Listeria innocua. RNAcentral's name for it is "bacterial SSU rRNA". It matches the Rfam family "Bacterial small subunit ribosomal RNA", at positions 1049 to 1533 of the family's 1533-position model. Lineage: Bacteria; Bacillati; Bacillota; Bacilli; Caryophanales; Listeriaceae. The record is from RNAcentral.